UGGGGAAUAUUGGACAAUGGGGGGAACCCUGAUCCAGCCAUGCCGCGUGUGUGAAGAAGGCCUUAUGGUUGUAAAGCACUUUAAGCGAGGAGGAGGGUACUGGUAUUAAUACUACCAGCUACUGGACGUUACUCGCAGAAUAAGCACCGGCUAACUCUGUGCCAGCAGCCGCGGUAAUACAGAUGGUGCGAGCGUUAAUCGGAUUUACUGGGCGUAAAGCGUGCGUAGGCGGCUAAUUGAGUCGGAUGUGAAAUCCCCGAGCUUAACUUGGGAAUUGCAUUCGAUACUGGUUAGCUAGAGUGUGGGAGAGGAUGGUAGAAUUCCAGGUGUAGCGGUGAAAUGCGUAGAGAUCUGGAGGAAUACCGAUGGCGAAGGCAGCCAUCUGGCCUAACACUGACGCUGAGGUACGAAAGCAUGGGGAGCAAACAGG
This 430-nucleotide ribosomal RNA is filed under the name Pseudomonadota bacterium. RNAcentral's name for it is "Proteobacteria bacterium partial 16S ribosomal RNA". It matches the Rfam family "Bacterial small subunit ribosomal RNA", at positions 355 to 776 of the family's 1533-position model. Lineage: Bacteria; Pseudomonadati; Pseudomonadota. The record is from RNAcentral.